Molecule: unclassified non-coding RNA, 775 nt
Filed under: uncultured Bordetella sp.
Lineage: Bacteria; Pseudomonadati; Pseudomonadota; Betaproteobacteria; Burkholderiales; Alcaligenaceae
Description: partial 16S-23S ribosomal RNA intergenic spacer
Rfam family: Bacterial small subunit ribosomal RNA
Source: RNAcentral
UAAGGCAGCCUCCUGGGAUAACACUGACGUUUCCGCGUGCCUGAAAGCGUGGGGAGCAAAACAGGAUUAGAUACCCUGGUAGUCCACGCCCUAAACGAUGUCAACUAGCUGUUGGGGCCUUCGGGCCUUGGUAGCGCAGCUAACGCGUGAAGUUGACCGCCCGGGGAGUACGGUCGCAAGAUUAAAACCUGCUAAAGGAAUUGACGGGGACCCGCACAAGCGGUGGAUGAUGUGGAUUAAUUCGAUGCAACGCGAAAACCUACCUACCCUUGACAUGUCUGGAAUCCCGAAGAGAUUUGGGAGUGCUCGCAAGAGAACCGGAACACAGGUGCUGCAUGGCUGUCGUCAGCUCGUGUCGAGAUGUUGGGUUAAGUCCCGCAACGAGCGCAACCUGUCAUUAGUUACAUGAAAGGGCACUCUAAUGAGACUGCCGGUGACAAACCGAGGAAGGUGGGGAUGACGUCAAGUCCUCAGCGGCCCCAGCGGUGGGCUUCACACGUCAUACAAUGGUCGGGACAGAGGGUCGCCAACCCGCGAGGGGGAGCCAAUCCCAGAAACCCGAUCGUAGUCCGGAUCGCAGUCUGCAACUCGACUGCGUGAAGUCGGAAUCAUGAGAAUCGCGGAUCAGCAUGUCGCGGUGAAUACGUUCCCGGGUCUUGUACACACCGCCCGUCACACCAUGGGAGUGGGUUUUACCAGAAGUAGUUAGCCUAACCGUAAGGAGGGCGAUUACCACGGUAGGAUUCAUGACUGGGGUGAGGUCGUAACAAGGUAG